This is a non-coding RNA of Schistocerca americana (American grasshopper), 73 nucleotides long. The record is from the annotation of a RefSeq genome assembly. NCBI's taxonomy places the organism in Eukaryota, Metazoa, Arthropoda, Insecta, Orthoptera, Acrididae.
GUUUCCGUGGUGUAGCGGUUAUCACGUGUGCCUAACACGCAAAAGGUCCCCAGUUUGAUUCCGGGCGGAAACA